GGCUCGGUAGCUUAGUUGGUAAAGCGCUCGUCUAGCAUACAAGAGUCCUGGGUUUAAAUCCCAGCCGAGCAU
RNAcentral lists this transfer RNA (72 nucleotides) under Aedes aegypti (yellow fever mosquito). It matches the Rfam family "tRNA". Rfam says of the family: Transfer RNA (tRNA) molecules are approximately 80 nucleotides in length. The record is from Rfam by way of RNAcentral. Lineage: Eukaryota; Metazoa; Arthropoda; Insecta; Diptera; Culicidae.